GGCUCGGUAGCGGAGGGUCCGCGUCUGCUGUCAGUGGCCAAGAGCAACGAGAUUAGUAUGCAGAGCAUGCCUGUUCGACUCAGGCCCGAGCCA
Mycena latifolia is the source of this 93-nucleotide non-coding RNA. The record is from the annotation of a GenBank genome assembly. NCBI's taxonomy places the organism in Eukaryota, Fungi, Basidiomycota, Agaricomycetes, Agaricales, Mycenaceae.